This 76-nucleotide transfer RNA is filed under the name Acidobacteriota bacterium. RNAcentral describes it as "Acidobacteria bacterium (groundwater metagenome) tRNA-Arg". It matches the Rfam family "tRNA". Rfam says of the family: Transfer RNA (tRNA) molecules are approximately 80 nucleotides in length. Their secondary structure includes four short double-helical elements and three loops (D, anti-codon, and T loops). Further hydrogen bonds mediate the characteristic L-shaped molecular structure. tRNAs have two regions of fundamental functional importance: the anti-codon, which is responsible for specific mRNA codon recognition, and the 3' end, to which the tRNAs corresponding amino acid is attached (by aminoacyl-tRNA synthetases). tRNAs cope with the degeneracy of the genetic code in two manners: having more than one tRNA (with a specific anti-codon) for a particular amino acid; and 'wobble' base-pairing, i.e. permitting non-standard base-pairing at the 3rd anti-codon position. Lineage: Bacteria; Pseudomonadati; Acidobacteriota. The record is from RNAcentral.
GCGCCCGUAGCUGAACGGGAUUAGCACCAGUUUACGAAGCUGGUUCAUGGGGGUUCGAGUCCCUCCGGGCGCACCA